GAAAAUCUCUGCUCCUUCACCACCCACAACUUCCACAAAAUCUCUCUGCUUGUCCUCCAUUAGCACCCACCAAUUUGUACAGAUCUAGUUUACAUUGUGUCCCUGAAUAAAUCAAAACUUUAUUUGUGUCCUUCAUAGAACGUCCGUGGUGGAGGACCAAACUCCUGAUCUCGGUACCCAAACAAGAGUUGUCUCUCAAAACUUCUCAAUGUAAGUUUUGAUAGACCAGAUCUACUGCACCCAAUAAGACCAUCAACACAGUUGUCCAUAUUUUCUUCUAACUCAUCUUUUUGAGUUUGUCCUUCACCGAUUUAAGAAAGCAUAGACAAACCUUGUUGGACUACAAAUCUUACUAACGACAUGUCAGAGGACACACAUUGGAGUUGUCUCUUGGAAUCUGUCAAAGUGAGUUUCGAUGGACCAGAUCUACUUUAUAUAUUUUGUCCAUCAUAUAUUACUUACUCGUUCGCUAUUUCUGACAUGUAUGAUCCAUUACCCACAUGAUAUUAGGCAACAUCCCAAUAAUUAAUGGCUAAUGCUGCCAAUAGAAAGAGCAAAAUUUCAUUCUCCAAUGCACAUGGCAAAAUCGUCUAAGGUUCAUCUUUUUGGCACGUUUUGAAAGAGGUUUUUGUUAAUGGCAGUUUUACAAAUUUGAAUUUAAGAAAUGGCAG
Molecule: long non-coding RNA, 671 nt
Filed under: Capsella grandiflora
Lineage: Eukaryota; Viridiplantae; Streptophyta; Magnoliopsida; Brassicales; Brassicaceae
Description: long non-coding RNA (CGRA_LNC000287)
Source: RNAcentral